RNAcentral lists this long non-coding RNA (1299 nucleotides) under Macaca fascicularis (crab-eating macaque). RNAcentral's name for it is "lncRNA (ENSMFAG00000061104.1)". Lineage: Eukaryota; Metazoa; Chordata; Mammalia; Primates; Cercopithecidae. The record is from RNAcentral.
GGGGAGAGAGAGCAUUAGGACAAAUAGCUAAUGCAUGCAGGGCUUAAAACCUACAUGACAGGUUGAAGUGUGCAGCAAACCACCAUGGUACAUGUAUACCUAUGCAACAAACCUGUACGUUCUGCACAUGUAGCCCAGAACUUAACGUAAAAUAAAUAAAUAAGAGUACGACAUGGGAGUUUUGAGAGAACUAUUAAUUUUUUGGUUAUCUCAAAUUUAAACCUGUCAAAUGUUUGUCAAGAAUUUGAAGUAUUCAAAAACUAAAAGUAAAGACAGUAAACAUAAAAUCAAAAGGAAGUAUAAAGGAACACGGAAAAAUGGACAAACCGGGAGAGUAAGUGCAAACAGGCUGGGCACGGUGGCUCACGCCUGUAAUCCCAGCACUUUGGGAGGCCGAGGCGGGCAAAUCACGAGGUCAGGAGUUCAAGACCAGCCUGGCCAACAGUGUGAAACCCCCUAUCUAGUAAAAAUACAAAAAUUAGCCGGGCAUGGUGAUACACACCUGUAAUCCCAGACACUCAGGAGGCUGAGGCGGGAGAAUCACUUGAACCCAGGAGGCGGAGGUUGCAGUGAACUAAGAUAGCGCCAUUGCACUCCAGCCUGGGCAACAAGAGCGAAACUCCAUCCCCCCACCCCACAAAAAAUGUUCGAACAAUUCUCGUCCCAAAUAAUUAUGAAAUUUAUAAUUUCUCAGGGCACGUAAAGUUUCUUGAUAGAAAGGAAAAUGAAGAGCAAAACCCUCUUAUGCAUAGAAAGUUGGUUGAUUCAUUUUUCCACCAGAUAAAUGUUGAAGCCACACUAACUAUGAAGUGUAGGAACAUAGAAUACUUGAAUUAUCUAAUCAGGUCCCAUUUAUCAUUGGUUGUAAAUCACUUUUAAAAAUGCUCACUUUUGACCAGGGCUUGGUGGCUCAUGCCUGUAAUCCCAGCACUUUGUGAGGCCGAGGUGGGUUGAUCACCUGAGGUCAGGAGUUCGAGACCAGCCUGGCCAACAUGGUGAAAUCUCGUCUCUACUAAAAAUACAAAGAGUAGCCAGGUGUGGUGAUGGGUGCCUGUAAUCUCAGUUACUUGGGAAGCUGAGGCAGGAGAAUCAUUUGCACCCGGGAGGUGGAGGUUGCAGUGAGCUGAGAUCAUGUCCCUGUACUCCAGCCUGGGCCACCAAGAGAGACUCCGAAAAAAUAUAUAUAUGUUUAUACCACUCGCUUUCUGUUAUUUUUGAGAGGAUGGUUUACAUCGUGGAAGCAAAAUUAAAUUCAUUUCUGGCUUGCAUAUUUUCCCUUUAGCAUCAGUUGACUCUGCG